RNAcentral lists this ribosomal RNA (572 nucleotides) under uncultured Pseudomonadota bacterium. RNAcentral describes it as "bacterial SSU rRNA". It matches the Rfam family "Bacterial small subunit ribosomal RNA", at positions 77 to 685 of the family's 1533-position model. Lineage: Bacteria; Pseudomonadati; Pseudomonadota. The record is from RNAcentral.
CCUUCGGGUGGUGGAUAGUGGCAGACGGGUGAGUAACGCGUGGGAACGUGCCUUUCGGUUCGGGAUAACCCAGGGAAACUUGGGCUAAUACCGGAUACGCCCUCCGGGGGAAAGAUUCAUUGCCGAAAGAUCGGCCCGCGUCGGAUUAGCUAGUUGGUGGGGUAAAAGCCUACCAAGGCGACGAUCCGUAGCUGGUCUGAGAGGAUGACCAGCCACACUGGGACUGAGACACGGCCCAGACUCCUACGGGAGGCAGCAGUGGGGAAUAUUGGACAAUGGGCGCAAGCCUGAUCCAGCCAUGCCGCGUGGGUGAAGAAGGCCCUAGGGUUGUAAACCCCUUUCAGCGGGGAAGAUAAUGACGGUACCCGCAGAAGAAGCCCCGGCUAACUCCGUGCCAGCAGCCGCGGUAAUACGGAGGGGGCUAGCGUUGUUCGGAAUUACUGGGCGUAAAGCGCGCGUAGGCGGACCUGCAAGUCGGGGGUGAAAGCCCGAGGCUCAACCUCGGAACUGCCUUCGAUACUGCGGGUCUCGAGUCCGGGAGAGGUGAGUGGAAUUCCUAGUGUAGAGGUGAA